UACGUAGGGUGCAAGCGUUGUCCGGAAUUAUUGGGCGUAAAGGGCGCGUAGGCGGCCUGUUAAGUCGAACGUGAAAUCCCUGGGCUCAACCCAGGAACUGCGUCCGAUACUGGCAGGCUUGAAUCCGGGAGAGGGAUGCGGAAUUCCAGGUGUAGCGGUGAAAUGCGUAGAUAUCUGGAGGAACACCGGUGGCGAAGGCGGCAUCCUGGACCGGCAUUGACGCUGAGGCGCGAAGGCCAGGGGAGCAAACGGG
RNAcentral lists this ribosomal RNA (253 nucleotides) under uncultured bacterium. RNAcentral describes it as "partial 16S ribosomal RNA". It matches the Rfam family "Bacterial small subunit ribosomal RNA", at positions 524 to 776 of the family's 1533-position model. The record is from RNAcentral.